Molecule: ribosomal RNA, 354 nt
Filed under: uncultured bacterium
Lineage: Bacteria
Description: bacterial SSU rRNA
Rfam family: Bacterial small subunit ribosomal RNA
Source: RNAcentral
GACGAACGCUGGCGGCGUGCUUAACACAUGCAAGUGGAGCGACGAACCAGGCUUCGGCCUGGGGCAGAGCCGCGAACGGGUGAGUAACACGUGGGUAACCUGCCUCGAUGACCGGGACAACCCGGGGAAACCCGGGCUAAUACCGGAUGUGCUGCCUUCACAUCAGUGGAGACAGGAAAGGAAGCUUCGGCCUCCGCAUCGAGAUGGGCCCGCGGCCCAUUAGCUUGUUGGNGAGGUAAUGGCUCACCAAGGCCGCGAUGGUAGCUGGUCUGAGAGGACGAUCAGCCACACUGGGACUGAGACACGGCCCAGACUCCUACGGAGGCAGCAGUGGGGAAUCUUGCGCAAUGCGCG